This 429-nucleotide ribosomal RNA is filed under the name uncultured archaeon. Its description in RNAcentral is "bacterial SSU rRNA". It matches the Rfam family "Archaeal small subunit ribosomal RNA", at positions 474 to 903 of the family's 1478-position model. The record is from RNAcentral.
UACCUGCAGCUCAAGUGGUAACCGCUAUUAUUGGGCCUAAAGCGUCCGUAGCCGGUUUGGUAAAUAUCUGGGUAAAUCGUGAGGCUUAACUUCACGAAUUUCGGAUAGACUGCCAGACUUGGGAUCGGGGGAGGUCAGAGGUACUCCAGGGGUAGCGGUGAAAUGUUGUAAUCCUUGGAGGACCACCGGUAGCGAAGGCGUCUGACUAGAACGAGUCCGACGGUGAGGGACGAAGCCCUGGGGCGCAAACCGGAUUAGAUACCCGGGUAGUCCAGGGUGUAAACAAUGUGGGCUUUGUAUUGGAGGUCCCACGUGGGCGUCCAGUGCAGAAGAGAAGUUGUUAAGCCCACCGCCUGGGAAGUACGGUCGCAAGGCUGAAACUUAAAGGAAUUGGCGGGGGAGCACAGCAACGGGAGGAGCGUGCGGUUU